GACGAACGCUGGCGGCGUGCUUAACACAUGCAAGUCGAACGGAAAGGCCCUGCUUUUGUGGGGUGCUCGAGUGGCGAACGGGUGUGUAACACGUGAGUAACCUGCCCUUGACUUUGGGAUAACUUCAGGAAACUGGGGCUAAUACCGGAUAGGAGCUCCUGCUGCAUGGUGGGGGUUGGAAAGUUUCGGCGGUUGGGGAUGGACUCGCGGCUUAUCAGCUUGUUGGUGGGGUAGUGGCUUACCAAGGCUUUGACGGGUAGCCGGCCUGAGAGGGUGACCGGCCACAGUGGGACUGAGCGACGGCCCAGACUACUACGGGCGGCAGCAGUGGGGAAUGUUGCACAAUGGGCGGAAUCCUGAUGCAGCAACGCCGCGUGCGGGAUGACGGCCUUCGGGUUGUAAACCGCUUUCGCCUGUGACGAAGCGUGAGUGACGGUAAUGGGUAAAGAAGCACCGGCUAACUACGUG
This 468-nucleotide ribosomal RNA is filed under the name uncultured bacterium. Its description in RNAcentral is "partial 16S ribosomal RNA". It matches the Rfam family "Bacterial small subunit ribosomal RNA", at positions 28 to 507 of the family's 1533-position model. The record is from RNAcentral.